UGUCGGCGCACAGCUGGCUUCCAGCCUGGCGGGCGUAGAACAGCGCCGUGCGGCCCUGGGCGUCACGGGCCGCCACGUGGAGUGGGGAGCGCAGCUGUGGGUCCUCUACGCUGGUGUCGAGCGGCCCGUGUCGCGCAUGGGCCAAAAGCAGGAGAACGGUAGCCACGUCCUGGGCCUGCACGGCGGCCCACAGCUGGCGGCCCAGCGGCUCCUCCGAGGUGCUCAGCGGCGCCAGGAACAGUAGCUGCUCGUACUUGGCGCGAAUCCACGACUCGCGCUCCUCCC
RNAcentral lists this long non-coding RNA (285 nucleotides) under Homo sapiens (human). Its description in RNAcentral is "HSALNT0368550". Lineage: Eukaryota; Metazoa; Chordata; Mammalia; Primates; Hominidae. The record is from RNAcentral.